This 464-nucleotide ribosomal RNA is filed under the name uncultured Desulfobulbus sp. RNAcentral's name for it is "bacterial SSU rRNA". It matches the Rfam family "Bacterial small subunit ribosomal RNA", at positions 924 to 1382 of the family's 1533-position model. The record is from RNAcentral. Lineage: Bacteria; Pseudomonadati; Thermodesulfobacteriota; Desulfobulbia; Desulfobulbales; Desulfobulbaceae.
CACAAGCGGUGGAGUAUGUGGUUUAAUUCGAUGCAACGCGAAGAACCUUACCUGGUCUUGACAUCCCGGAGACCCUUAGGAAACUAGGGGGUGCUUCCAUCUGGAAGAAUCUGGAGACAGGUGCUGCAUGGCUGUCGUCAGCUCGUGUCGUGAGAUGUUGGGUUAAGUCCCGCAACGAGCGCAACCCUUGUCUUUAGUUGCCAGCAGUUCGGCUGGGCACUCUAAAGGGACUGCCGGUGUUAAACCGGAGGAAGGUGGGGAUGACGUCAAGUCCUCAUGGCCUUUAUGACCAGGGCUACACACGUACUACAAUGGCCGAUACAAAGGGCAGCGACACUGCGAGGUGAAGCCAAUCCCGUAAAAUCGGUCUCAGUCCGGAUUGGAGUCUGCAACUCGACUCCAUGAAGUUGGAAUCGCUAGUAAUCGUGGAUCAGCAUGCCACGGUGAGUACGUUCCCGGGCCUU